GCCAACGUAGCUUAGUUAAAGCAUGACACUGAAGAUGUUAAGACGGGCCCUAGAAAGCCCCGUAAGCA
Molecule: transfer RNA, 68 nt
Filed under: Periophthalmus barbarus (Atlantic mudskipper)
Lineage: Eukaryota; Metazoa; Chordata; Actinopteri; Gobiiformes; Gobiidae
Description: tRNA-Phe
Rfam family: tRNA
About the family: Transfer RNA (tRNA) molecules are approximately 80 nucleotides in length. Their secondary structure includes four short double-helical elements and three loops (D, anti-codon, and T loops).
Source: RNAcentral